Molecule: long non-coding RNA, 568 nt
Filed under: Lupinus mutabilis
Lineage: Eukaryota; Viridiplantae; Streptophyta; Magnoliopsida; Fabales; Fabaceae
Description: partial ncRNA
Source: RNAcentral
CAAAUAUUUUCCGGCACAUGUUCUUCCUCGACCGGAGAGAAUGAAGAACCACGGCGAGCCACAAGAACACGUGUUCCACGCGCAGGAAGAACGACUCGGGAAGGCAGAACAAGAUGCGCGUGCGGAGAAGGAGGUAGCGCGUGAUCGGGUAGAGAUGGUGAGGGAGGAGAUGGUGGUGGGGCCCACCCGGUAGAGAAGAGACGUUGCUGGCUAAAUUAUUAUCGUCUUGUUCAUCGUCGGCGAAAUCAGAGAAACUGGAUUGUUUCUCGGCGGCGUCUAUGUUAUCUGCUACACGCCGUCGAGUUGUUGUGGGCCCCGCGGCGACCCUUGGGCUAGAGUUGGAAGAGCUCGUGGUUGGGCCGCCGGAGGACAUGGUGGCCAGUAACGAGAAAGAUUAAAGAGAACAAGAAAAAGAGUCCCAAAAAAAUGAAGUUAAAUUAGAAAUUGUGUUUUUUAGAAGAUUUUGAGGUUGGUGUUUAAAGAGAAACGAGAGAACGUUUUUGGUUUGGGCUGUGUAUUUUGUUUAGAGCCGUCGGUUGAAAAGUUUGAGAGUAGCUUUUGGUUGGAG